Molecule: non-coding RNA, 217 nt
Filed under: Triticum aestivum (bread wheat)
Lineage: Eukaryota; Viridiplantae; Streptophyta; Magnoliopsida; Poales; Poaceae
Also listed under: 1 other name
Description: Bacterial small subunit ribosomal RNA
Rfam family: Bacterial small subunit ribosomal RNA
Source: Rfam by way of RNAcentral
UAUGCAUGAUACUUAUGAUGAAACUACUUCUAUGCUUGACAGGUGUAUAGAACUAGCAAAGUGGUUUAGGAAAGGGCAUAUGAAUAGGCAGUUUGGCAAGUGCUUAGCUGGUCUUUUCGGAUGAUCAGCCACACUGGGACUGAAACACGGCCCGGACUCCCAUGGGGGGCAACAGUGGGGAAUCUUGGACAAUGGGCGAAAGCCCGAUCCAACAAUA